CCUACGGGAGGCAGCAGUAGGGAAUCUUCCACAAUGGACGAAAGUCUGAUGGAGCAACGCCGCGUGUGUGAUGAAGGGUUUCGGCUCGUAAAACACUGUUGUAAGAGAAGAAUGACAUUGAGAGUAAAUGUGCAGUGUGUGACGGUAUCUUACCAGAAAGGAACGGUUAAAUCCGUGACCGCCGCCGCGGCAAUACGUAUGUUCCACGCGUUAUCCGGAUUUAUUGGGCGUAAAGCGAGCGUAGGCGGUAGUAUAAGUCCGAAGUGAAAGCCCACAGCUUAACUGUGGAAGUGCUGUUGAAACUGGAUAACUUGAGUGCAGUAGAGGAGAGUGGAACUCCAUGUGUAGCGGUGAAAUGCGUAGAUAUAUGUAAGAACGCCAGUGGCGAAGGCGGCUCUCUGGACUGUAACUGACGUUGAGGCUCGAAAGUGUGGGUAGCAAACAGGAUUAGAUACCCGUGUAGUC
This 465-nucleotide ribosomal RNA is filed under the name uncultured Weissella sp. Its description in RNAcentral is "bacterial SSU rRNA". It matches the Rfam family "Bacterial small subunit ribosomal RNA", at positions 338 to 795 of the family's 1533-position model. Lineage: Bacteria; Bacillati; Bacillota; Bacilli; Lactobacillales; Lactobacillaceae. The record is from RNAcentral.